This 854-nucleotide long non-coding RNA is filed under the name Anas platyrhynchos platyrhynchos (common mallard). RNAcentral's name for it is "lncRNA (ENSAPLG00000018078.1)". Lineage: Eukaryota; Metazoa; Chordata; Aves; Anseriformes; Anatidae. The record is from RNAcentral.
GGGUAGCCCCCAGGGCUUCCCUUGUGCUUCGGCUUCCCUCACAGAGCCCCCAGCCUGUACAAGGAGGAUGAACCCAACGUUUUUGCGGAGCCGGCCGUCCUGGCACAGCAGCUGCUCCCCUUCCUGCUGCAGCUCCUGGAGAAGGUGCCCGAUGCCAGCCCACUCCGUGCCUCAGCCCUGCACUGGCUGGAGGCCACAGGCCCUGGAGUCCUGCGGGACCUGCAGUACUGCAGGCACCUCUGGAGCCAAGAGGCCGUCGCACGCUGGUGGAUGAAGGCUCUGGGCUGUGCCAAGCUGCGGGUGGCCCUGGCUGUGCUGCUGGUGAGGGCCAGGCUGGCGGCCCAUGCGCUGCGAGUGCUGGCCAGGGCGAUGCACCGAGGGAACCGGGAUCACUGCCUGGGAACGACUGAUGGCUCCAGGCAUGGAGUGGCAUCACACUGAGCUGGCUCUCGCUGCUGUGUCCCUGCGUUUUUUUGGGUGCUCGCUGCAGCCAGGCAGCAGGUUUGGCAGUGGAACUUGGGGAACCCCACUCGCCGUGUGGGACGUGCUUGCUUUGGAUGCAGCAGUGCUGGUGGUGGGAGCGAGCAGCGCUUUGCUCUUCGGUUCACACGGGGUGGUCGCUCUGCAUCCCAGUGGCACCAGCACAGCAUCACCUCCCUGUGCCUGCUCCCUGCAGCACUCCCUGCCCCCGGGUCCAGCUGGGAGGACAGGACACGCAGCCCUGUCCCCUGCUGGGACACCCGCUGACCGUUUUCAACCAGGAUUUUGGCUCUUUUUGCGGGAGCCUUUUAUCCCAAAUAAAGAACCCCGAAACCACCCCGCUGUCAAAGCCUUUCCAUGGCCUUUCUCGGGGG